GAGUUUGAUUAUGGCUCAGGAUGAACGCUAGCGGGAGGCCUAACACAUGCAAGCCGAGCGGGAUUUGUUGGUUAGCUUGCUAACUAACAAUGAGAGCGGCGUACGGGUGCGUAACACGUGUGCAACCUGCCUUUAUCUGGGGGAUAGCCUUUCGAAAGGAAGAUUAAUACCCCAUAAUAUAUUGAUUGGCAUCAAUUAAUAUUGAAAGCUCCGGCGGAUAGAGAUGGGCACGCGUAAGAUUAGCUAGUUGGUGAGGUAACGGCUCACCAAGGCUGCGAUCUUUAGGGGGCCUGAGAGGGUGAUCCCCCACACUGGUACUGAGACACGGACCAGACUCCUACGGGAGGCAGCAGUGAGGAAUAUUGGACAAUGGGUGAGAGCCUGAUCCAGCCAUCCCGCGUGAAGGACUAAGGACCUAUGGUUUGUAAACUUCUUUUAUACAGGGAUAAACCUACUCUCGUGAG
This 464-nucleotide ribosomal RNA is filed under the name Bergeyella zoohelcum. RNAcentral's name for it is "bacterial SSU rRNA". It matches the Rfam family "Bacterial small subunit ribosomal RNA", at positions 9 to 466 of the family's 1533-position model. Lineage: Bacteria; Pseudomonadati; Bacteroidota; Flavobacteriia; Flavobacteriales; Weeksellaceae. The record is from RNAcentral.